GGGAGUGUAGCCCAAUUGGCAGAGGCGCAAGAUUUAGGUUCUUGUUGUUGUAGGUUCGAGUCCUAUCACUCUCA
Molecule: transfer RNA, 74 nt
Filed under: Algoriphagus sp.
Lineage: Bacteria; Pseudomonadati; Bacteroidota; Cytophagia; Cytophagales; Cyclobacteriaceae
Also listed under: 1 other name
Description: tRNA-Leu
Rfam family: tRNA
About the family: Transfer RNA (tRNA) molecules are approximately 80 nucleotides in length. Their secondary structure includes four short double-helical elements and three loops (D, anti-codon, and T loops).
Source: RNAcentral